RNAcentral lists this ribosomal RNA (771 nucleotides) under Rusavskia elegans. RNAcentral's name for it is "mitochondrial SSU rRNA". It matches the Rfam family "Bacterial small subunit ribosomal RNA", at positions 367 to 1200 of the family's 1533-position model. The record is from RNAcentral. Lineage: Eukaryota; Fungi; Ascomycota; Lecanoromycetes; Teloschistales; Teloschistaceae.
GUCAUAGCCUAACGGCUGAACCAGCAACUUGGAGGAAUGUAUAGCAAUUGCUAUUUGCAUUAAAAGUUUUUAGUGUAAAAUCGACUUUGUCGAAUAAAAUUCUGGGUAGAAUUAUGAUAAUGACAUUACCUACUCAUAAGUCUUGACCAAAUUACGUGCCAGCAGUCGCGGUAAUACGUAGAAGACAAGUGUUAUUCAUCUUUAAUAGGUUUAAAGGGUACUUAGACGGUAAAUAAAGCCUCCAAAAGGUACUAGUUUGCUAGAGUUUUAUAUGAAGGAGUUUUAAAGUACUACUGGUGUAGAGAUGAAAUUCAGUUAUACCUUACAUGGCACAGGUUAAGGCGAAAGCAUCUUCUUAUGUAAAAACUGACGUUGAAGGACGAAGGCUUUGUGUCUCGAACAGGAUUAGAUACCCUAGUAGUCUAAGCAGAAAAUGAUGAAUGUCAUAGAUUAGAUUUAAUUUGAUCUGUAAAUGAAAGUGUAAGCAUUCCACCUCAAGAGUAAUUUGGCAACAUUGGAACUGAAAUCAUUAGACCGUUUCUGAAACCAGUAGUGAAGUAUGUUGUUUAAUUUGAUAAUCCGCAAAAAACCUUACCACAAUUUGAAUAGAUAUAUUUUAUCAUACAAGCGUUGCACGGCUGUCUUCAGUUAAUGUCGUGAGACUUUGGUUAGUUCCAUUAAAUUAACGUAAACCCUUACUUUAUUUUUAUAUAAAGUAGUUCACCGCUAUAUUGGAUGUGAUAAUAGGGAUCAAGACAAGUCAUCAUGACC